Molecule: transfer RNA, 65 nt
Filed under: Nurudea yanoniella
Lineage: Eukaryota; Metazoa; Arthropoda; Insecta; Hemiptera; Aphididae
Description: tRNA-His
Source: RNAcentral
AUUUGAAUAGUUUAAGAAGAAUAUUAAUUUGUGGAAUUAAAGGUUAUAAAUUAUUAUAGUUAAAU